Molecule: unclassified non-coding RNA, 170 nt
Filed under: uncultured Archaeorhizomycetes
Lineage: Eukaryota; Fungi; Ascomycota; Archaeorhizomycetes
Description: sequence contains ITS2
Source: RNAcentral
ACCUUCACCGGCCUUUUUUGGCUGCGUGGUGUUGGAUUUUGCUUCGCAAGAAAGCAUCGUCUGUAAAGGUUUCGACUCUGGUUCGUGGUGAAAGCAGCAACGAUGAGUUUCUUGGAAACCGGUGUUGACUGAAAGCCUCGGAUCGAGAGUCGUUAAGCAUUGGAUCUCAG